UCCGCUUUCUAUGCUGGUAUGGGUUGGACGGUUUGACUGAGGACUGUCAAGCCGGGAGGCUGCUCCAGGCCCCAAUCUGGUCUGGCAAUGUUUCUACAGCUGGAUGCCCUUCCUUACGCCAACCACUCCAAGAGUGUAGUGGGUGCUUUUUACAUGCCAUCGGCACAAGGGGCCAGUGGAGCUAGCAUCGACCAUGAUUGGGUGGUGCUUUUUACAUGCCACUCGCAUGGAAGCCAGUCAAGGUGGCACUGGCAUCGGCCACUUUCGGAUGGUGCUUU
Octopus sinensis (East Asian common octopus) is the source of this 278-nucleotide long non-coding RNA. RefSeq lists it as uncharacterized. The record is from RefSeq and is a predicted model, not a curated record. Lineage: Eukaryota; Metazoa; Mollusca; Cephalopoda; Octopoda; Octopodidae. The transcript is spliced from 3 exons.